UACGGAGGGGGGCGAGCGUUAUUCGGAAUUAUUGGGCGUAAAGGGCGCGUAGGCGGCUGUACAAGUCAAAGGUGAAAUCCCCUCGGCUCAACUGAGGAACUGCCUUUGAAACUGUACGGCUUGAGGCCGGGAGGGGGUAGCGGAAUUCCCAGUGUAGCGGUGAAAUGCGUAGAUACUGGGGAGGAACACCAGUGGCGAAGGCGGCUACCUGGACCGGUUCUGACGCUGAGGCGCGAAAGCGUGGGUAGCAAACAGG
This 256-nucleotide ribosomal RNA is filed under the name uncultured bacterium. Its description in RNAcentral is "partial 16S ribosomal RNA". It matches the Rfam family "Bacterial small subunit ribosomal RNA", at positions 524 to 776 of the family's 1533-position model. The record is from RNAcentral.